Transfer RNA from Cajanus cajan (pigeon pea), 74 nucleotides. It matches the Rfam family "tRNA". Rfam says of the family: Transfer RNA (tRNA) molecules are approximately 80 nucleotides in length. Their secondary structure includes four short double-helical elements and three loops (D, anti-codon, and T loops). The record is from Rfam. Lineage: Eukaryota; Viridiplantae; Streptophyta; Magnoliopsida; Fabales; Fabaceae.
GCUGGAAUAGCACAGUUGGUUAUAGCGCGUGGCUGUUAAUCACAAGGUCGAACGUUCAAGCCCUUCUUCUAGCG